Carassius gibelio (silver crucian carp) is the source of this 896-nucleotide long non-coding RNA. RefSeq lists it as uncharacterized. The transcript has 3 exons. The record is from RefSeq and is a predicted model, not a curated record. Lineage: Eukaryota; Metazoa; Chordata; Actinopteri; Cypriniformes; Cyprinidae.
GGUGACAGAAUGGAGAAAAAAACCUUGGGAGAAACCAGGCUCAGUUGGGGGGCCAGUUCUCCUCUGACCAGACGAAACCAGUAGUUCAAUUCCAGGCUGCAGCAAAGUCAGAUUGUGCAGAAGAAUCAUCGGUUUCCUGUGGUCUUGUCCUGGUGGUCCUCUGAGACAAGGUCUUUACAGGGGAUCUGUAUCUGGGGCUCUAGUUGUCCUGGUCUCCGCUGUCUUUCAGGGAUGUAGAGGUCCUUUCUAGGUGCUGAUCCACCAUCUGGUCUGGAUACGUACUGGAUCCGGGUGACUGCAGUGACCCUCUGAUCUGGACACAGACUGGAUCUCGUGGCCACGGUGACCUCGGAACAAGAGAGAAACAGACAAAUAUUAGCGUAGAUGCCAUUCUUCUAAUGAUGUAGAAAGUACGGUGUUAUGUGAAGUGUUUCCGGUUCCGGUUUACCUAAUUAAUGCAGCCUAAAAAUCCUUUAACGGAUUUGGAUAUUAAAAGCAUAUUAGUAUGUUAUGUGUAUGCCAGGUUAAAGAGAUGGGUCUUUAAUCUAGAUUUAAACUGCAAGAGUGUGUCUGCCUCCCAAACAAUGUUAGGUAGGUUAUUCCAGAGUUUAGGCGCCAAAUAGGAAAAGGAUCUGCCGCCCGCAGUUGAUUUUGAUAUUCUAGGUAUUAUCAAAUUGCCUGAGUUUUGAGAACGUAGCGGACGUAGAGGAGUAUAAUGUAAAAGGAGCUCAUUCAAAUACUGAGGUGCUAAACCAUUCAGGGCUUUAUAAGUAAUAAGCAAUAUUUUAAAAUCUAUACGAUGUUUGAUAGGGAGCCAGUGCAGUGUUGACAGGACCGGGCUAAUAUGGUCAUACUUCCUGGUUCUAGUAAGAACUCUUGCUGCUGCAUUUUGGACU